UAGAGUUUGAUCCUGGCUCAGAAUGAACGCUGGCGGCGUGCUUACACAUGCAAGUCGAGCGAGAAAGUUCCCUUCGGGGGACGAGUAAAGCGGCGGACGGGUGAGUAACACGUGGAUGACCUGCCCUGGAGUGAGGAAUAACUUGGGGAAACUCGAGCUAAUAUCGCAUACGCUCGUAUGGCUACGGCCAUGCGAGGAAAGUUGGCCUCUAUAUCGUAAGCUGACGCUCCUGGAGGGGUCCGCGCCUGAUUAGCUAGUUGGUGGGGUAAAGGCCUACCAAGGCGACGAUCAGUAGCCGGCCUGAGAGGGUGAUCGGCCACACUGGGACUGAGACACGGCCCAGACUCCUACGGGAGGCAGCAGUGGGGAAUAUUGGACAAUGGGGGCAACCCUGAUCCAGCAACGCCGCGUGGAGGAUGAAGGCCUUCGGGUCGUAAACUUCUGUCAGUAGGGACGAAAAGCCCUUGGUCAAUAGCCUUGGGUCAUGAC
RNAcentral lists this ribosomal RNA (489 nucleotides) under uncultured bacterium. Its description in RNAcentral is "bacterial SSU rRNA". It matches the Rfam family "Bacterial small subunit ribosomal RNA", at positions 1 to 473 of the family's 1533-position model. The record is from RNAcentral.